UUCCGGACUGGUUUUAAUAGAGAUGAAGAACCCAGCCUCACACAAUAUCCAGAAUCAACCUGCAAAUCUAUGAAAUAAAAUGGCUUCCUGAGAUUUACAUCACACAUUUCCUGUAUCUACAGAACCCGCAGAUUUCUUCAUCUAUUAUAGGCCUGUGCUUUCAUCCUGAUAUUAACACUAAGGGGGGGAAACAUUUUAGAAAGAGACAUGUGCUGAGUGCAUUUGUUCCUAAGUCAUCUGAAGGUUGAGAAAGUCAGAUAAUAGUUUCAGUUUAAUCAGAACAAGUUUUCUCAUCUCUUCCUCAAAUAAUUUGCUGUACUUGGGUGGUUGCAGGGAUCCCAAGGACUUCAGAGUCUAGCAAAAUCUGAUCAACUCUCCAAAAAGAGUCCUUCAGAACCUCUCAGACUAACUGCAAAUAACUUUCCAUUUAUUCGAACCAGGUGACAAUAUCAAAUCACAUUAUGUUCAUGUAGGAAGUAAUUGAAAGGCAACUCCUUAGUUCUGAAAUCAGAAGUUGGUCAAAAGUCUAAUAUUUUCGAAAGAUGUAUCAUUUUGAGAAAGUGAAGAAAAUUACAUUUUUCUAUCUUUCAAAAAAAUCUAACAGUAUCUUUUUAUUGCAUUUUUAAGGUACCUUGGUUUCUGCUAUGAUAUUGAAGAACAAAUCAAGGACAUAAGGCUGAGAGAUACAAUGUGGCUGAUUUCAAACAGAAACGAUGCUCAGUACUUCAUUACCUGUUUUGUUGUUGUUCAGAGUCUUCUUUCCAGCUCUUGCCCUGCCUUAGCCUAUGCCACACUUCUGUGCUUCUCCUGUUCUAACAAUGCAAAUUCACUACCCUGGCUUCAUUUUGUUUGACUACUAUUUCUCUAUUCUACUUGAUAACACUGUUUGAUUCAUUUCAAUUCAAUGAAAGUCAAUUCAUUCUAAUUGAUAUUUGAGCAGUUACUCUCUCCUGGAUACAUUUUAUCACCUAUAUUUAGAAUACUCAAAAAUGCAACCUUAAGCUAUCUGAUGGAUCUAAACCUACAUUGUCUAUUGGACAUCAUCUCCAGGGUAACCUAUAAUGUCCUCAUUCUAAGCAUAUCUAAAAUUAAACUUAGGAUUUUUCUCUGGAAAUAAGACUUUACCUACUUCUUACUUAGGAUAACACGAUAUUAAUGUGAAUAUUAUUUUAGCUACUCAUAUAUAAAUCUCUAUGUUGUAUUUAACUAGUUUUUCAAAAUUCCUUUCAAUAAAGCUUCAUUUUCCCCAACA
This 1252-nucleotide long non-coding RNA is filed under the name Sus scrofa (pig). Its description in RNAcentral is "lncRNA (ENSSSCG00035045397.1)". The record is from RNAcentral. Lineage: Eukaryota; Metazoa; Chordata; Mammalia; Artiodactyla; Suidae.